AGAAAUGCACUGCCACAUCACAGGCAACUCAAUCCAGAUUUGCUUUGGAAAUAAAUCAGAGUUGACAGCUGAAUGUUUUGUGAGUUGGAAAUAAUUGCCAUUCCAAGGAAGAAGUUGCCAUUGGAAAUUCUCAUCUGAUCCCCCCACUCCCUGUCCAUACACAUAUGUGGAGGGAGAGGAAAUGGGAUGGAAAGAAACCACAGCAAUUCUUCUGGGACUUUGGAUAAAUUAUAGCAAUCACCAGCCAAUCCCUCUGCAAUAUCAGAAAUACAGCUUAAUGAUGUAACGUUAGAAAAUGUUGACAAUUUCUGCUACCUUGGCAGCUACCUCUCCACAAAAGUCAACACUGACAUUGAAAUACAACACUGCCUGAGCUCUGCAAGUGCAGCAUUUUUCCAAAUGAAGCAGAGUGUGUUUGAGGACUGGGACAUCUGUAGGGAUACCAAGGUCCUUGUUUAUAAAGCUAUUGUCCUCCCAACCCUGCUAUAUGCUUGCAAAACGUGAACUUUCUACAGAUGUCAUAUGCAACUCCUGGAACAAUUCCAUCAGCGUUGCCUCAGAAAAAUCCUGUAAACCUCUUGGGAAGACAGGUGGACAAAUGUCAGCAUGCUGGAAGAAGCACUGAAGCAAUGCUCCUACACCAUCAACUCCGCUGGAUUGGCCAUGUUGUCCAAAUACCCAAUUAUCAUCUCCCAAAGCAGUUAUUAUACUCCCAACUCAAGAACAGGAAAUGUAAUGUUGGUGGACAGGAAAAGAGGUGGACAGGACAACCUUAAAAACUGUGGCAUAGACACUCAGAACUGAGAAACCCUGGCUCUUGAGUGCUCUAACUGGAGGUCAGCUGUGACCAGCAGUGCUGCCGAAUCCAAUGAGGCAUGAAUGGAGGGCGAAAGGGAGAAAUGUGCCAAGAGGAAGACACACCAAGCCAACCCUAACCGAGACUGCCUUCCACCUGGAAACCGAUGUCCUCACUGCGGGAAAACAUGUGGAUCAAGAAUAGGGCUCCACAGCCAGUUAUGGACCCACCACCAAGACACUACACUUGGAGGACCAUCAUCCUUGGGCUACAAGGAAUCAUCUAAGUGUCAUCAGCAUGAGUUUAAAGGAACACUGGCAGAGGCUCAAUCCAGAAAGACCAGAACCUGGCUUCCCUAGUCAAUGAAUGAACUAACAUGUUGUCAACGAUGUUUUUAUUUGUUGCAACCAUAGACAGGAGUUGGGGUUGCCUUUGAAGACGGCCCAGAAGCUUCAAUUGGUCCAACAUGCGGCAGCCAUGAUACUAACAGGAGCAGGACGCAGGGAGCAUACAACCCCCUUGUUGUACCAGUUCCACUGGCUGCCGAUUUGCUACCGGGCUCAAUUCAAGGUGUUGGCGUUGGCCUAUAAAGCCCUAAACAGUUCCGGCCCAAAAUACCUAUCCGACCGCAUUUCAACCUACGAGCCCACCAGGACUUUGAGAUCUUCCGGGGAGGCCCUGCUCUCGAUCCCGCCUGCCUCACAGGCACGGCUGGUGGGGACGAGAGAUAGGGCCUUCUCAGUGGUGGCUCCUUGGCUGUGGAACACCCUUCCCGUAGACAUCAGACUGGCUCCUUCCCUGAUGAUAUUCCGCAGGAAAUUAAAGACUUGGUUGUUCAAGAAGGCAUUCGAACAAGAAGUGCAAUGAUUGGUAAUGACUAUAGGAAUGGAACAACGGAAAAGGAUACUGGAUUGUGGUUUGGACAAUGAGACGACGCGGAAUGGCUUUUGUAGUAAUGAUGAU
Molecule: long non-coding RNA, 1759 nt
Organism: Anolis sagrei ordinatus
Lineage: Eukaryota; Metazoa; Chordata; Lepidosauria; Squamata; Anolidae
Source: RefSeq, a predicted model, not a curated record